RNAcentral lists this ribosomal RNA (1554 nucleotides) under Salmonella enterica subsp. enterica serovar Schwarzengrund. RNAcentral's name for it is "bacterial SSU rRNA". It matches the Rfam family "Bacterial small subunit ribosomal RNA". Lineage: Bacteria; Pseudomonadati; Pseudomonadota; Gammaproteobacteria; Enterobacterales; Enterobacteriaceae. The record is from RNAcentral.
AAAUUGAAGAGUUUGAUCAUGGCUCAGAUUGAACGCUGGCGGCAGGCCUAACACAUGCAAGUCGAACGGUAACAGGAAGCAGCUUGCUGCUUUGCUGACGAGUGGCGGACGGGUGAGUAAUGUCUGGGAAACUGCCUGAUGGAGGGGGAUAACUACUGGAAACGGUGGCUAAUACCGCAUAAUGUCGCAAGACCAAAGAGGGGGACCUUCGGGCCUCUUGCCAUCAGAUGUGCCCAGAUGGGAUUAGCUUGUUGGUGAGGUAACGGCUCACCAAGGCGACGAUCCCUAGCUGGUCUGAGAGGAUGACCAGCCACACUGGAACUGAGACACGGUCCAGACUCCUACGGGAGGCAGCAGUGGGGAAUAUUGCACAAUGGGCGCAAGCCUGAUGCAGCCAUGCCGCGUGUAUGAAGAAGGCCUUCGGGUUGUAAAGUACUUUCAGCGGGGAGGAAGGUGUUGUGGUUAAUAACCGCAGCAAUUGACGUUACCCGCAGAAGAAGCACCGGCUAACUCCGUGCCAGCAGCCGCGGUAAUACGGAGGGUGCAAGCGUUAAUCGGAAUUACUGGGCGUAAAGCGCACGCAGGCGGUCUGUCAAGUCGGAUGUGAAAUCCCCGGGCUCAACCUGGGAACUGCAUUCGAAACUGGCAGGCUUGAGUCUUGUAGAGGGGGGUAGAAUUCCAGGUGUAGCGGUGAAAUGCGUAGAGAUCUGGAGGAAUACCGGUGGCGAAGGCGGCCCCCUGGACAAAGACUGACGCUCAGGUGCGAAAGCGUGGGGAGCAAACAGGAUUAGAUACCCUGGUAGUCCACGCCGUAAACGAUGUCUACUUGGAGGUUGUGCCCUUGAGGCGUGGCUUCCGGAGCUAACGCGUUAAGUAGACCGCCUGGGGAGUACGGCCGCAAGGUUAAAACUCAAAUGAAUUGACGGGGGCCCGCACAAGCGGUGGAGCAUGUGGUUUAAUUCGAUGCAACGCGAAGAACCUUACCUGGUCUUGACAUCCACAGAACUUUCCAGAGAUGGAUUGGUGCCUUCGGGAACUGUGAGACAGGUGCUGCAUGGCUGUCGUCAGCUCGUGUUGUGAAAUGUUGGGUUAAGUCCCGCAACGAGCGCAACCCUUAUCCUUUGUUGCCAGCGGUCCGGCCGGGAACUCAAAGGAGACUGCCAGUGAUAAACUGGAGGAAGGUGGGGAUGACGUCAAGUCAUCAUGGCCCUUACGACCAGGGCUACACACGUGCUACAAUGGCGCAUACAAAGAGAAGCGACCUCGCGAGAGCAAGCGGACCUCAUAAAGUGCGUCGUAGUCCGGAUUGGAGUCUGCAACUCGACUCCAUGAAGUCGGAAUCGCUAGUAAUCGUGGAUCAGAAUGCCACGGUGAAUACGUUCCCGGGCCUUGUACACACCGCCCGUCACACCAUGGGAGUGGGUUGCAAAAGAAGUAGGUAGCUUAACCUUCGGGAGGGCGCUUACCACUUUGUGAUUCAUGACUGGGGUGAAGUCGUAACAAGGUAACCGUAGGGGAACCUGCGGUUGGAUCACCUCCUUACCUUAAAGACGC